GCAGCCUGGCGGCGGCUACGGCGGGUGUGCGUUCCCCACACCACUUCAUACGAGUGUCGUCGCACAUGCGGGCUGAUUUGGAGAUAUGGGACACCUUUCUUCGGGAUUUUAACGGGACGGUAUUCUUCCGGCAGGGGGGCGUAUCGACAGCCGAACUGGAGCUGUUCACCGAUGCGUCAGGUAGCGUGGGUUUCGGGGCAUACUUCAGAGGGAGGUGGUGCGCGGAAGGUGGCCGGAGGGG
Non-coding RNA from Pelobates cultripes (western spadefoot toad), 241 nucleotides. The record is from the annotation of a GenBank genome assembly. NCBI's taxonomy places the organism in Eukaryota, Metazoa, Chordata, Amphibia, Anura, Pelobatidae.